This 253-nucleotide ribosomal RNA is filed under the name uncultured bacterium. RNAcentral's name for it is "partial 16S ribosomal RNA". It matches the Rfam family "Bacterial small subunit ribosomal RNA", at positions 524 to 776 of the family's 1533-position model. The record is from RNAcentral.
UACAGAGGGUACGAGCGUUAAUCGGAAUUACUGGGCGUAAAGCGUGCGCAGGCGGUUUUGUAAGCCAGAUGUGAAAUCCCCGGGCUUAACCUGGGAAUGGCAUUUGGGACUGCAAGGCUGGAGUGCGGCAGAGGAGACUGGAAUUCCUGGUGUAGCAGUGAAAUGCGUAGAUAUCAGGAGGAAUACCGAUGGCGAAGGCAGGUCUCUGGGCUGACACUGACGCUCAUGCACGAAAGCGUGGGGAGCAAACAGG